Long non-coding RNA from Rhinopithecus roxellana (golden snub-nosed monkey), 1406 nucleotides. RefSeq lists it as uncharacterized. The record is from RefSeq and is a predicted model, not a curated record. NCBI's taxonomy places the organism in Eukaryota, Metazoa, Chordata, Mammalia, Primates, Cercopithecidae. The transcript is spliced from 9 exons.
AUGUCCAAGUAUCCUUUUGGAUAUAUCACAGCAGUGCCUGGAUACAGGAUCUGGACAGAGAACAAAGCAAAGAGGACCGAUGUCUCCAUCCUCGGUAGCAUCUCUCCAAUCUGCUCCUACACCUCUGGCUCUCCUAAGCUCCCCUCAAAGGACUAUUUGGGUUUGGAAAUAGUGCUCUGCAUCACUGGAGGAAGCAAGUAUGAAACCUCAGUCCACCCCAUCACUCGAUCAGAAGAAUUCCCAUUGGACAGCUGGCUUGCAUGCAGUGCCGAGAAGCCGUUCCGGAGGAGAUAUGUGAUCCCCUCCUACUACAGCUCCAUCCUAGCUCUUGUUAAGAACUUCCUUCCCAGUCACCCAACAGUGUGUUGCUUCCAAGAGCAACGGCUGGGCCAGACCCCCUGGAACGAAAAGGAAGAAAGAGCCCCUCACUCAUGUUUCUUGCUGUGCCCACCUGCAGUUCAUUGCUUUAGGACUUGACAGAUGAAAUCAGCACCUUCCCAAACUUCUCCGCUGGGAGACUGUCUGGAAUAUCUCCUCUUGACCCUCUAGGGGAUGCUGCCCACUCCACAGCGCCCCCUGCAGCUCUGCCUGAUUAUAAAGCUUCUCCCUAAUGGGCAAGAUCUCACACAUGAUAGAGCCAUAAAACGUGGCACUCCUGGCUGGCCCUGCUGCUUGUCUGAUAAGGGAGAUCGAGGGACUCACCAGCACAGGCAGAGGGCCCCAGGUCUUACCCUGCCCCCAUGCCUCCUCCCCACCCCAGCUGGUCUCGGCUUCCAGCAUGUUGCCAAGGCCUGUUCUGCAGAACACAAAGCCCAUGCUUUGCAAUGGCGAGGAUUCCAUGUUCAAGAAAGGGUGGGAAAUGCCCCCAGUCUCUCCCGUCCUAGGCAUUCAAAACACCCAUGAGCACAGUCACGGCUGUGAGGAGGCUUCCAGUAAAGAAAAUCUGCUCGCAUUUCCCAGGGACACAUCACUGAGGCUUGUCACGGUGGUGAGAGAGAACUGUGGUCUCCUAGGAGGCAUGGAGCAGCCUUCCCACACUCUCUGCAUGCACACAUCCUCCGGGGAUCUGGUCCAGGGGCCGGUUCUGACUCCCCAGGCCUGGGCUGGGACUCCGGACGCUGUGUCUCUCAGAAGCCCCUGGGGGACAGUGACGCUGUGGGUCCACAGGCCACAGGGAUCCAGAGUGGCUGCUGAUGAGUUUCCAGAAGACCCAGAACUACUAUUUAGAGGGGGCAGGGGAAGGCAUUUCACCUCGCUACAACUUAGGCUGGGCCAGAGGAGAACACAGCUUUCCUUUCUGGGAAUGCUGUUGAACAAUGAAGAGUAUAAAGAGGUUAAACCAUGCCUACGGUCACCCCUGUCUGGUGAAGCUGAGAUUUGAAGUGGCGUUUGGACCCCAGAGCUGA